UACGAAGGGUGCAAACGUUGCUCGGAAUCAUUGGGCGUAAAGCGCACGUAGGCGGCCUGAUAAGUCGGAUGUGAAAUCCCUCGGCUCAACUGAGGACGUGCAUUCGAAACUGCCAGGCUCGAGUAUGGAAGAGGGUCGCGGAAUUCCCGGUGUAGAGGUGAAAUUCGUAGAUAUCGGGAGGAACACCAGUGGCGAAGGCGGCGCCCUGGGCCAAUACUGACGCUGAGGUGCGAAAGCGUGGGGAGCAAACAGG
RNAcentral lists this ribosomal RNA (253 nucleotides) under uncultured bacterium. Its description in RNAcentral is "partial 16S ribosomal RNA". It matches the Rfam family "Bacterial small subunit ribosomal RNA", at positions 524 to 776 of the family's 1533-position model. The record is from RNAcentral.